Molecule: ribosomal RNA, 381 nt
Filed under: uncultured bacterium
Lineage: Bacteria
Description: partial 16S ribosomal RNA
Rfam family: Bacterial small subunit ribosomal RNA
Source: RNAcentral
CCUACGGGAGGCAGCAGUGGGGAAUAUUGGGCAAUGGGCGCAAGCCUGACCCAGCAACGCCGCGUGAAGGAAGAAGGUUUUCGGGUUGUAAACUUCCUUUAAGAGGGAAGAGAAGAAGACGGUACCUCUUGAAUAAGCUAUGGCUAACUACGUGCCAGCAGCCGCGGUCAUACGAAGGUGGCAAGCGUUGUCCGGAUUUACUGGGUGUAAAGGGCGUGCAGCCGGGCUGACAAGUCAGCUGUGAAAUCCCGGGGCUCAACCGCGGAACUGCAUUUGAAACUGUCAGUCUUGAGUACCGGAGAGGUACGCGGAAUGCCUUGUGUAGCGGUGAAAUGCGUAGAUAUAGGGAAGAACACCGGUGGCGAAGGCGGCAGGCUGGAC